This 465-nucleotide ribosomal RNA is filed under the name Vreelandella stevensii. Its description in RNAcentral is "partial 16S ribosomal RNA". It matches the Rfam family "Bacterial small subunit ribosomal RNA", at positions 338 to 795 of the family's 1533-position model. Lineage: Bacteria; Pseudomonadati; Pseudomonadota; Gammaproteobacteria; Oceanospirillales; Halomonadaceae. The record is from RNAcentral.
CCUACGGGGGGCAGCAGUGGGGAAUAUUGGACAAUGGGCGAAAGCCUGAUCCAGCCAUGCCGCGUGUGUGAAGAAGGCCUUCGGGUUGUAAAGCACUUUCAGUGGGGAAGAAAGCCUUGGGGCUAAUACCCUCGAGGAAGGACAUCACCCACAGAAGAAGCACCGGCUAACUCCGUGCCAGCAGCCGCGGUAAUACGGAGGGUGCGAGCGUUAAUCGGAAUUACUGGGCGUAAAGCGCGCGUAGGCGGUCUGAUAAGCCGGUUGUGAAAGCCCCGGGCUCAACCUGGGAACGGCGUCCGGAACUGUCAGGCUAGAGUGCAGGAGAGGAAGGUAGAAUUCCCGGUGUAGCGGUGAAAUGCGUAGAGAUCGGGAGGAAUACCAGUGGCGAAGGCGGCCUUCUGGACUGACACUGACGCUGAGGUGCGAAAGCGUGGGUAGCAAACAGGAUUAGAUACCCCAGUAGUC